AUUGAACGCUGGCGGCAUGCUUUACACAUGCAAGUCGAACGGUAACAGGCCUUCGGGUGCUGACGAGUGGCGAACGGGUGAGUAAUGCAUCGGAACGUGCCCAAUCGUGGGGGAUAACGUAGCGAAAGUUACGCUAAUACCGCAUAAGCCCUGAGGGGGAAAGUGGGGGACCGCAAGGCCUCACGCGAAUGGAGCGGCCGAUGUCAGAUUAGCUAGUUGGUGGGGUAAUGGCCUACCAAGGCGACGAUCGGUAGCUGGUCUGAGAGGAUGAUCAGCCACACUGGGACUGAGACACGGCCCAGACUCCUACGGGAGGCAGCAGUGGGGAAUAUUGGACAAUGGGCGCAAGCCUGAUCCAGCAAUGCCGCGUGUGUGAAGAAGGCCUGCGGGUUGUAAAGCACUUUUGUUCGGGAAGAAAUCAUGUCGGUUAAUACCCGAUGUGGAUGACGGUACCGAAAGAAUAAGCACCGGCUAACUUCGUGCCAGCAGCCGACGG
Molecule: ribosomal RNA, 496 nt
Filed under: uncultured bacterium
Lineage: Bacteria
Description: bacterial SSU rRNA
Rfam family: Bacterial small subunit ribosomal RNA
Source: RNAcentral